Molecule: transfer RNA, 107 nt
Organism: Podospora anserina
Lineage: Eukaryota; Fungi; Ascomycota; Sordariomycetes; Sordariales; Podosporaceae
Rfam family: tRNA
About the family: Transfer RNA (tRNA) molecules are approximately 80 nucleotides in length. Their secondary structure includes four short double-helical elements and three loops (D, anti-codon, and T loops).
Source: Rfam
GGGAGCUUGGCUCAGUUGGAAGAGCGCAGGUCUCAUACGAAUGUAUGAUCUGGAUGUGCAACACCAGAGCUAUCCUGAGGUCGUGAGUUCGAGCCUCACAGUUCCCA